RNAcentral lists this ribosomal RNA (407 nucleotides) under uncultured bacterium. RNAcentral's name for it is "partial 16S ribosomal RNA". It matches the Rfam family "Bacterial small subunit ribosomal RNA", at positions 30 to 526 of the family's 1533-position model. The record is from RNAcentral.
AUUGAACGCUGGCGGCAGGCCUAACACAUGCAAGUCGAGCGGAGCGGCGGACGGGUGAGUAAUGCCUAGGAAUCUGCCCGGUAGUGGGGGAUACCGCCCGGAAACGGGCGCUAAUACCGCAUACUAUCAGAUGACCUUAGGUCGGAUUUGCUAGUUGGUGGGGUAAUGGCCUACCAAGGCUACGAUCCGUAACUGGUCUGAGAGGAUGAUCAGUCACACUGGAACUGAGACAGGGUCCAGACUCCUACGGGAGGCAGCAGUGGGGAAUAUUGGACAAUGGGCGAAAGCCUGAGCCAGCCAUGCCGCGUGUGUGAAGAAGGUCUUCGGAUUGUAAAGCACGUUAAGUUGGGAGGCGUUACCAACAGAAUAAGCACCGGCUAACUUCGUGCCAGCAGCCGCGGUAAUUC